This 438-nucleotide ribosomal RNA is filed under the name Macugonalia cavifrons. RNAcentral describes it as "partial large subunit ribosomal RNA". Lineage: Eukaryota; Metazoa; Arthropoda; Insecta; Hemiptera; Cicadellidae. The record is from RNAcentral.
CCCUGCCCUAUGAUUAAUUAAAUGGCUGCAGUAUUCUGACUGUGCAAAGGUAGCAUAAUAAUUAGUCUUUUAAUUGAAGGCUUGUAUGAAUGGGUUAAUAAGGAGUUUUUUUUAUUUGCCUUAUAUUUUGAAUUUAAUUUUUAAGUAAAAAAGCUUAAUUUUUUUUUUGGGACGAUAAGACCCUAUAGAACUUUAUUUUUAAUUUUAUUUAAGUAAUUUUAGGUAUAUAUUAUUACUUAGUUUACUUAAUUUUUUCAUUGGGGUGAUGAAUAAAUUUUUACUUUAUUUUUUCAGUUCAUUUAUUUAUGUAUUAGUGAUCCAUAUUUUGAUUUUAAGAUUUAGUUACCUUAGGGAUAACAGCGUAAUUUUAAUGGCGAGUUCUUAUUUAUAUUAAAGUUUGCGACCUCGAUGUUGAAUUAAGAUUAGGUUGGGGGGUAG